CUAUAACGGUCCUAAGGUAGCGAAAUUCCUUGUCGGGUAAGUUCCGACCUGCACGAAUGGCGUAAUGAUGGCCAGGCUGUCUCCACCCGAGACUCAGUGAAAUUGAACUCGCUGUGAAGAUGCAGUGUACCCGCGGCAAGACGGAAAGACCCCGUGAACCUUUACUAUAGCUUGACACUGAACAUUGAGCCUUGAUGUGUAGGAUAGGUGGGAGGCUUUGAAGUGUGGACGCCAGUCUGCAUGGAGCCGGCCUUGAAAUACCACCCUUUAAUGUUUGAUGUUCUAACGUUGACCCGUGAUCCGGGUUGCGGACAGUGUCUGGUGGGUAGUUUGACUGGGGCGGUCUCCUCCUAAAGAGUAACGGAGGAGCACGAAGGUUGGCUAAUCCUGGUCGGACAUCAGGAGGUUAGUGCAAUGGCAUAAGCCAGCUUGACUGCGAGCGUGACGGCGCGAGCAGGUGCGAAAGCAGGUCAUAGUGAUCCGGUGGUUCUGAAUGGAAGGGCCAUCGCUCAACGGAUAAAAGGUACUCCGGGGAUAACAGGCUGAUACCGCCCAAGAGUUCAUAUCGACGGCGGUGUUUGGCACCUCGAUGUCGGCUCAUCACAUCCUGGGGCUGAAGUAGGUCCCAAGGGUAUGGCUGUUCGCCAUUUAAAGUGGUACGCGAGCUGGGUUUAGAACGUCGUGAGACAGUUCGGUCCCUAUCUGCCGUGGGCGCUGGAGAACUGAGGGGGGCUGCUCCUAGUACGAGAGGACCGGAGUGGACGCAUCACUGGUGUUCGGGUUGUCAUGCCAAUGGCACUGCCCGGUAGCUAAAUGCGGAAGAGAUAAGUGCUGAAAGCAUCUAAGCACGAAACUUGCCCCGAGAUGAGUUCUCCCUGACUCCUUGAGAGUCCUGAAGGAACGUUGAAGACGACGACGUUGAUAGGCCGGGUGUGUAAGCGCAGCGAUGCGUUGAGCUAACCGGUACUAAUGAACCGUGAGGCUUAACCUU
RNAcentral lists this ribosomal RNA (991 nucleotides) under Escherichia coli. RNAcentral describes it as "bacterial LSU rRNA". It matches the Rfam family "Bacterial large subunit ribosomal RNA", at positions 1940 to 2925 of the family's 2925-position model. Lineage: Bacteria; Pseudomonadati; Pseudomonadota; Gammaproteobacteria; Enterobacterales; Enterobacteriaceae. The record is from RNAcentral.